UACGAAGGGGGCUAGCGUUGCUCGGAAUCACUGGGCGUAAAGCGCACGUAGGCGGCUUUCUAAGUCAGGGGUGAAAUCCUGGAGCUCAACUCCAGAACUGCCCUUGAUACUGGAGAGCUUGAGUCCGGGAGAGGUGAGUGGAACUGCGAGUGUAGAGGUGAAAUUCGUAGAUAUUCGCAAGAACACCAGUGGCGAAGGCGGCUCACUGGCACGGUACUGACGCUGAGGCGCGAAAGCUAGGGGAGCAAACGGG
RNAcentral lists this ribosomal RNA (253 nucleotides) under uncultured bacterium. RNAcentral's name for it is "partial 16S ribosomal RNA". It matches the Rfam family "Bacterial small subunit ribosomal RNA", at positions 524 to 776 of the family's 1533-position model. The record is from RNAcentral.